GAUGAACGCUGGCGGCGUGCUUAACACAUGCAAGUCGAACGGAAAGGCUCCUGCUUUCAGGGGUACUCGAGUGGCGAACGGGUGAGUAACACGUGGGUGAUCUGCCCUGCACUUCGGGAUAAGCCUGGGAAACUGGGUCUAAUACCGGAUAGGACGAUGUUUUGCAUGCCAUUGUGGAAAGUUUUUCGGUGUGGGAUGAGCUCGCGGCCUAUCAGCUUGUUGGUGGGGUAAUGGCCUACCAAGGCGUCGACGGGUAGCCGGCCUGAGAGGGUGUACGGCCACAUUGGGACUGAGAUACGGCCCAGACUCCUACGGGAGGCAGCAGUGGGGAAUAUUGCACAAUGGGCGCAAGCCUGAUGCAGCGACGCCGCGUGGGGGAUGACGGCCUUCGGGUUGUAAACUCCUUUCGCUAGGGACGAAGCGCAAGUGACGGUACCUGGAGAAGAAGCACCGGCUAACUACGUG
RNAcentral lists this ribosomal RNA (465 nucleotides) under uncultured bacterium. Its description in RNAcentral is "partial 16S ribosomal RNA". It matches the Rfam family "Bacterial small subunit ribosomal RNA", at positions 28 to 507 of the family's 1533-position model. The record is from RNAcentral.